CGCGGUGCUGCCGGAUCGGGACGCGCUGGUGUCCUCGCGCGACACCGGGACGAUCACCCGGUUCGGGCCGGGCACGGUGCC
Molecule: transfer RNA, 81 nt
Filed under: Embleya hyalina
Lineage: Bacteria; Bacillati; Actinomycetota; Actinomycetes; Kitasatosporales; Streptomycetaceae
Description: tRNA-Ala
Source: RNAcentral